AUGUAAAACAACAUAUUAUUCUUAAUCAAACGCAAAAUGAUAAUGCGCAUCAAGGUGACAGAGGACAGGUGACAGGUCGCGCGUCACAUGACUUCUCACAGCUGUGCCUCGCUUCGCGACCGGCGUCAAGAUGUCGCGCAUGCUAACUACGCGUCCUUCCCCCUCCACUGCCAGCGUAUUCCCUAACCCCCUCCACACGAUAUAAUACAAUCAUGCUGUUGCGUUGGUGCGGACGUGUUUUACGUGUGUCCUUCGGAGAAUUUUUGAGUUUAACCUCUUACAAGGACUUUAGCCGUAGACAAAAUUUAAAGUUGUUGGCCUGAGUAUAUUGAUCGUUGUUCAGAUCAAUUACGGCCAUAAAAAAAUUAAAAAAUAAAUAAUAAUAAUGCUGUUGCGUUCACUGGCAUCCUGGCAUGUGGCAUCUCUUAUCCGGCGGGGGAGAGGAAGGGAGGUUAGGUUGGAUUAAUGCGAGUCUGGCGAUGGUGGCGAUCGUUCGCCCCCGUGACGAGAAACGCGUGUGCGUGUCGCGGUUGCCUGAGCACGGUGAAUGCGUAGUGCGUGCGCGUCAUUAGAGCUAUAGUGGCAGUUGCAACUUGCGGAGCAGACGGACAGUGACUCGCGUGGUAGGACGGGAGGAACAAGUGUCCGCGUGAGAGCGACACGCAGCGGAGCGAAAGAUGGCGAUGGCGCAUCGGAAGGUGCCAAGGUGGUGAAGUGUGAUGCGGCUUGCGCGAGUAUCUUCAGCCUCGUCGUCGUCGUCGUCGUCGUCAUCGUCGUGAUCGUCCCUCGUGAGAUCGCUCGUUGAGCGGAGCGCGGCCAAAUGAUAUGGGAAUUUGCAGCAGAAGACACUUUCUAUUGACGAUAUGCAGCCUACAACUGAUUACCACUAUAGAACGUCAAGUCUUCGACUUUCUGGGGUUUAUGUGGACCCCGAUACUGGCCAACUUCUUCAAUAUCAUCUUCGUAAUUCUAGGAUUCUUCGGGGCCUUUCAAUAUAGACCAAAAUAUAUCAUAUCAUAUUGUAUAUGGAAUAUAUUGUGGCUAGGAUGGAACAUAUUUAUAAUAUGCUUCUACCUCAGUGUAGGGAUACUGGAUAAAGAUAGUGAUAUCCUCAAUCUAGGUACCGGUAGUUUUUCUUGGUGGCACGUAAAUGGACCUGGUUGCAAAGCUGUUUACGAUGUUACGGAACCAGAGCUCUUUAGACCUGCACGUCCCACUAAUGUAACAGAUUGUGUGCUGGACUAUGAAGUGAUAGAAAUUUUACAUGCUGCAACGCAAUGUAUUUUAGGUUUUAUGGCGAUUGUUGGUGGAAUCUGUCUUAGUAAAGUGUUCCUUGAAGAAGAUGAUAGCUUUGACUUUGUUGGAGGUGAUGACUUUGGGUUGGCAGGCCACACGCCGUUGCAUCCUAUGUACGUUAGCUACUCGGCUCUUCCACCACCCGCAUAUUCCCACAAAAAUUCCGCUGAAAAUAAUUAUCCGACCGGCACGACUAGCUCUCACCAAUCUGCCUAUCGCGAAUCGAGCUUUCCGAAACACGGUGGCGAGAAGCUGUUGGGUUCCGCGCGCGGCAAAAGCAACAUCGUCAGUCUCAGGAACGACACGAUCCGUAGUAACAGCAGUCGCUCGUCGAGUCGCGAUUUUCAGAACCUAGACUGUUCGGUCGACUAUUCGAAUCCAUUGGAUCACUUGCAGCGGCCCGUGUCGCCCGUGUACGACGAGUACGACUCGCUGGACAGCGUUGCUAAAUUGAGGUAUCAGAAAAACAAGUUGUACUAUCCGCACCUGGCCAGGUACAGCCCGGUCGCGCGUAUCAAGUGUCGUUCGACCGCGACGAAGCAAGGCAGGAAUCCCGCCAAACCACGACGAGUCUUCAUCGAUCACGUGCGCGAUCAGCCUCUGAGGUCGUUUUACUCCGAUCCGAGAUUGGCCGUUGAUCAGCAGCAAGCAUCGAGUGAGCACGACGGGUCGAAACGAGAUAGCCGACCCUUGUCUCUGUACGCGAGUAACUUUUGAACGACGAGAUCUCCGCCGCGUUUUUUUCUCUUUUGCACGCGACUACUGGUUUCCGAAACACUCGUGUGUCGAUGACACUCCUCUCCGCACACGAUCGGCAGAUAAAAUUGCCCUAAAGGUUCCCUACCGAUCUAUUGCUCUCUUAGCGAGAAGAAUUACGAAAAUUAGCUUAUACGAACUUCUAUACUGCCGCGUAUACGACGUCCACGUGCGUACGAACUAAGCGAAAGAAGAAGCAGCCGCGGCCGCUGUACAGCAUCGAGUACUCCCAGCCGGAGCCGCCGGUCCAGGACGACAGCAGCGUGUCGCCGAAGCCG
Molecule: unclassified non-coding RNA, 2330 nt
Filed under: Camponotus floridanus (Florida carpenter ant)
Lineage: Eukaryota; Metazoa; Arthropoda; Insecta; Hymenoptera; Formicidae
Description: sodium/potassium-transporting ATPase subunit beta-1- interacting protein, transcript variant X1
Source: RNAcentral